AGCCCGCUCAGAAACUUAAAGGAAGUUGACGGGGGCCCGCACAAGCGGAGGAGCAUGUGGUUUAAUUCGAUGAUACGCGAGGAACCUUACCUGGGCUCGAACGUAAGAUGACUGUAGGUGAAAGCUUACAUCUCUUCGGAGCAUUUUACGAGGUGCUGCAUGGUUGUCGUCAGCUCGUGCCGUGAGGUGUCGGGUUAAGUCCCAUAACGAGCGCAACCCCUACCUUUAGUUGCCAUCAGGUUAAGCUGGGGACUCUAAAGGAACUGCCUACGCAAGUAGUGAGGAAGGCGGGGAUGACGUCAAAUCAGCACGGCCCUUACGUCCAGGGCUACACACGUGCUACAAUGGCCGAUACAGAGGGCAGCUACCUGGUGACAGGAUGCAAAUCUCCAAAGUCGGUCUCAGUUCGGAUCGGAGUCUGCAACCCGACUCCGUGAAGUUGGAUUCGCUAGUAAUCGCGCAUCAGCCAUGGCGCGGUGAAUACGUUCCCGGGCCUU
RNAcentral lists this ribosomal RNA (497 nucleotides) under uncultured Sphingobacteriales bacterium. RNAcentral's name for it is "bacterial SSU rRNA". It matches the Rfam family "Bacterial small subunit ribosomal RNA", at positions 886 to 1382 of the family's 1533-position model. Lineage: Bacteria; Pseudomonadati; Bacteroidota; Sphingobacteriia; Sphingobacteriales. The record is from RNAcentral.